Molecule: transfer RNA, 85 nt
Filed under: Felis catus (domestic cat)
Lineage: Eukaryota; Metazoa; Chordata; Mammalia; Carnivora; Felidae
Also listed under: 2 other names
Rfam family: tRNA
About the family: Transfer RNA (tRNA) molecules are approximately 80 nucleotides in length.
Source: Rfam by way of RNAcentral
GCCUGGGUGGCUCAGUCGGUUAAGCAUCUGACUUCAGUUCAGGUCAUGAUCUCACGUCUCGUGGGUUCGAGCCCCACGUCAGGUU